Zea mays is the source of this 4313-nucleotide RNA transcript. It is a transcript of the gene named heterogeneous nuclear ribonucleoprotein Q, with no coding region annotated. Lineage: Eukaryota; Viridiplantae; Streptophyta; Magnoliopsida; Poales; Poaceae. The transcript is spliced from 5 exons. The record is from RefSeq and is a predicted model, not a curated record.
GUCAGGGAAGCGGCCGCAACAGAUCGAUUCCCGGCGUUGCAGGAAGAGGCGACGACGGCGCCGCAGCGGCAGGGGAGGACGGCAGGCGAGAGGAGGGUGGGGUGGAGGCGACGGCGCAGCGUGCUGCGUGAGGGAGGGAGGGCCGCCGGUCGCCGGCUGCCAGACCGAAUCCUACGAGUCGACGGGAUUGAGCAUACUUUUUGGCAACGUAUCCUUGUGCUUAAAGGGUACGCAUAUUUUAAACCUGGGACAUUUAUAUCGCAUCCAACGGUAGCAGCUGUGAGCGGAAUUAGAGUCGGGCAUUUCGUUCCGCUUCGCCGCGGCCGCCGCCGCCGCCUCCGCCUCCGUGUCGCCGCCGCCCCGCAGAACCCUAAAGGCCGCCGCCACCAUGCGCCGCCUCCCGACCCUCCCCCGGCCCGCGGCCGCCGUCGCCUCGACAUCCACCCCGGACAUCGUCGCGGAGCUCGGCCGCGUCCUCUCCACGCGCCGCUGGAACAAGGGCAGCGCCUACAAGCGGCUGUCCCCCUCCGUGACGGCCGCGCACGUGGCCGACCUCUUCCGCGCCCCGGUGUCCCCUCUCGACCCGGCCACCGCUCUGGCCUUCUUCGAGUGGGUCGCGCGCCGCCCCGGGUUCCGCCACACCGCCGCCUCCCACGCCGCGCUGCUCCAGCUCCUCGCCCGCCGCCGCGCGCCCGCCAACUACGACAAGCUCGUCCUCUCCAUGAUUAGCUGCUCCGGCACCGCAGAGGACGUGCGCGAGGCCGUCGACGCAAUUCAGGCAAUCCGUCGAGUGGGUGGUAAGCGACUCGUGCUGUCCCCAAAGUGCUACAACUUGGCGCUCAGGUCGCUGCUGCGAUUCGACAUGACGGAGUAUAUGGGGAAGCUGUACUCGCACCUCGUGCAGGAGGGAUUGUUGCCAGACACGGUGACUUACAACACUAUGAUCAUGGCAUACUGCAAGAAGGGUAGUCUCGCCAUAGCACACCGGUAUUUCUGCUUGUUGAGGGAGUCUGGGAUGCAGAUGGAUACAUACACAUGUAAUGCACUGUUGUUGGGGUACUGCCGAACAAGUGACUUGAGAAAGGCUUGCUGGCUACUCAUGAUGAUGCCGCUGAUGGGUUGCAGGAGGAACGAGUACUCCUACACCAUUUUGAUUCAGGGGCUCUAUGAAGCACGGUGUGUAAGGGAGGCACUUGUGCUUGUGUUCAUGAUGGUACAAGAUGGGUGCUCCCUGAAUCUGCACAUGUAUACACUCUUGAUAAAAGGUCUUUGUAAGGAGGGCAGGAUUCAUGAUGCCAGGGGGUUGCUUGAUGAAAUGCCUUUGAGAGGGGUGGUACCAAGUGUUUGGACUUAUAAUGCAAUGAUUGAUGGGUAUUGUAAGUCAGGAAGGAUGAAGGAUGCAUUGGGGAUUAAAGCACUGAUGGAACAAAAUGGGUGUAAUCCAGAUGACUGGACAUACAACAGUCUGAUUUAUGGCCUAUGUGGUGGGAAGCUAGACGAAGCCGAAGAAUUGCUGAAUGGCGCUAUUGCAAGGGGCUUCACACCUACAGUUAUCACAUUCACUAACCUGAUUAAUGGGUAUUGCAAGGCUGAAAGGAUUGAUGAUGCACUCAGGGUAAAGAGUAAUAUGAUAUCAAGCAAUUGCAAGCUUGAUUUACAGGCAUAUGGAGUGUUGAUUAAUGUCCUCAUCAAGAAGUGUAGAUUAAAAGAGGCUAAAGAGACGCUGAAUGAGAUGUUUGCAAAUGGUUUAGCUCCUAAUGUUGUCAUUUACACUUCUAUAAUUGAUGGGUAUUGCAAGGUUGGGAUGGUUGGUGCUGCACUAGAGGUCUUCAAAUUGAUGGAACAUGAAGGCUGCCAUCCAAAUGCCUGGACUUAUGGUUCUUUGAUAUAUGGGUUAAUUCAGGAUAAAAAGCUUCAUAAGGCAAUGGCUUUAAUAACUAAAAUGCAAGAGGAUGGGAUAACUCCUGGUGUUAUCGCUUAUACUACUCUGAUUCAAGGCCAGUGCAAAAAACAUGAAUUUGAUAAUGCUUUCAGGUUAUUUGAAAUGAUGGAAAAGAAUGGCUUGACACCUGAUGAGCAAGCGUACAAUGUCCUAACUGAUGCACUAUGCAAGUCUGGAAGAGCUGAAGAAGCUUAUUCAUUUCUUGUCAGGAAGGGAGUCGUCCUCACAAAGGUAACAUAUACAUCUUUAGUUGAUGGUUUUAGCAAGGCAGGCAAUACUGACUUUGCUGCCGUCCUUAUAGAGAAGAUGGUCAAUGAGGGUUGUAAGGCAGAUUUGUACACAUAUAGUGUAUUGUUGCAGGCUUUAUGUAAACAAAAAAAACUGAAUGAAGCUUUGUCUAUACUGGAUCAGAUGACCGUAAGUGGAGUCAAGUGUAACAUUGUUGCUUAUACAAUAAUUAUCAGUGAAAUGAUCAAAGAAGGGAAGCAUGACCAUGCUAAAAGCUUGUUCAAUGAAAUGAUUUCAUCAGGACAUAAGCCUAGUGCAACCACAUAUACUGUAUUCAUUAGCUCGUACUGCAAGAUAGGUCAAAUAGAGGAGGCUGAGCAUCUAAUUGGGGAAAUGGAAAGAGACGGUGUCACACCUGAUGUGGUAACCUAUCAUAUAUUCAUUAAUGGUUGUGGUCAUAUGGGAUACAUGGAUCGUGCAUUUUCUACUCUGAAGCGCAUGGUGGAUGCAUCAUGUGAGCCAAAUUGCUGGACUUAUUGGCUUUUGCUCAAACAUUUUCUAAAAAUGAGUUUGAUCAAUGCUCACUAUAUAGACACAUCUGGCAUGUGGAACUGGAUUGAACUGAACACAGUUUGGCAGCUUCUUGAAAGGAUGAUGAAGCAUGGUUUAAAUCCUACAGUAGUGACAUACAGUUCUAUCAUUGCAGGAUUCUGCAAAGCAACACGACUAGAAGAAGCAUGUGUGCUUCUUGAUCAUAUGCUUGGAAAAGCUAUAUCUCCCAAUGAAGAGAUAUACACAAUGCUUAUCAAGUGUUGUUGUGAUAUCAAGCUCUUUGGAAAGGAUGUGUCAUUUGUUACCGACAUGAUAGAAUUUGGGUUUCAGCCUCAGCUUGAGUCCUACCACUACCUUAUUGUAGGCCUCUGUGAUGAGGGGGACUAUGACAGGGCUAAAUCACUGUUCUGUGACUUACUUGGGAUGGACUAUAAUCAUAAUGAAGUUGCAUGGAAAAUUUUGAAUGAUGGUUUGCUCAAAGCUGGCCAUGUGGAUUUUUGUUCACAGUUGCUGGCUGCUAUGGAUAAUAGACACUGUCGGAUUGACUCUGAGUCAUAUUCAAUGUUGACUGAUAGCAUUCGUGAGGCUUCUGGCAGUGUGGUCAGCGAACUCAGAGGAGAAGCUGCCUGACCGAUGUGCAAGUGUCUUUGGAGUUUCGUCAGAAUCAAUGCAGUGUUCCUAUGAUUCCCGAGGAAACAGUUUCCUAACAAUCCUCUUGAUGAUGCAGAGAAGCCUUUAUGAACAUGGAGGUCUUCAGGCAGAAGGUAUCUUCCGAAUAAACGCAGAAAAUAGCCAGGAAGAAUUUUGUGAGAGACCAAUUAAAUAAUGGAAUUGUUCCUGAUGGUGUUGAUGUCCACUGUUUGGCAGGUCUAAUCAAAGCCUGGUUCAGAGAAAUGCCGAGGGGGGUACUGGACUCUAUCCCACCUGAACAGGUGAUGCAAUGCCAAUCUGAAGAGGACUGUGCUUGGGUAUCGAAAUGUCUUCCACUAGCUGAAGCAGCUUUGCUUGACUGGGCUGUUAAUCUGAUGGAUGAUGUAGUCCAGGAAGAACAGAUAAACAAGAUGAAUGAUCGCAAUAUUGCUAUGGUUUUUGUGCCAAAUACGACUUAGAUGGCAGAUCCUUUGACUGCACUGAUGUAUGCAGUCCAAGUGAUGAAUUUUCUCAAGAUGCUGGUACAAAAGACCCUCAAGGAUAGAGAGGAGUCCACUCCAGAGGAUGUUUUGCUGCCACAGAAGGACCCAUCUGAUGAAAAUGGGCAUCAGAAACCCAGCGUGACACUUGAUUCUCUCCUUGAGGAUGGAUCCAGGCGCCCUUCAUUUGCCAAGGAAGAGCCCCUUCUGAACAGUCCUGCCCACAGCACUGAUGACAAGUCUAAUGAAAGUAAAAACCACUUUAGGAGUCACUGCUGCUUUCGCUGCCCAGGCAACGAGUGUGGACGACUCCACUAGUGGCUUACAACCUUCAGCUGCUAUCACUUUAAGGCACGAACUGCUUGCCUUCUUAACAGAAUAAAUUAUUUCAUCCUCUAUAUGUCAUCUUCUUUAAUAUACCAACUUAAUUAACAGAAUAAAUUAUUUCAUCGUCGCACGAA